CCCCUAGAUGUUCUGGGCCGCACGCGCGCUACACUGAACAGUUCAACAAGUCUUAACCUUGGCCGAUAGGUCUGGGUAAUCUUUGAACGCUGUUCGUGAUUGGGAUAGACCUUUGCAAUUAUGGGUCUUCAACGACGAAUUCCUAGUAAACGCAAGUCAUCAGCUUGCAUUGAUUACGUCCCUGCCCUUUGUACACACCGCCCGUCGCACCUACCGAUUGAAUGGUCCGGUGAAAUCUCGGGACGGCGGCUUGGUCGCUUGCGUCCGACUGCUGAAACUUGAUUAAACCAUAUCAUUUAGAGGAAGGUGAAGUCGUAACA
This 320-nucleotide ribosomal RNA is filed under the name uncultured eukaryote. Its description in RNAcentral is "partial 18S ribosomal RNA". It matches the Rfam family "Eukaryotic small subunit ribosomal RNA", at positions 1470 to 1796 of the family's 1831-position model. The record is from RNAcentral.